AGAGUUUGAUCAUGGCUCAGAACGAACGCUGGCGGCGUGGAUAAGACAUGCAAGUCGAGCGAGAUUUUUUCCUGUAGCAAUACAGGGAAAAGUCUAGCGGCGAACGGGUGCUUAACACGUGGGCAACCUGCCGAGAAGUGGGGAAUAGCUCGCCGAAAGGCGAAUUAAUACCGCAUGUGAUUAGAGUGGACAUCCAUUCAAAAUCAAAGUCGGGGCAACCUGACGCUUCUUGAGGGGCCCGCGGCCUAUCAGCUAGUUGGUGAGGUAACGGCCCACCAAGGCUUAGACGGGUAGCUGGUCUGAGAGGACGACCAGCCACACUGGGACUGAGACACGGCCCAGACACCUACGGGUGGCAGCAGUCGAGAAUUUUUCUCAAUGGGGGAAACCCUGAAGGAGCGACGCCGCGUGGAGGAUGAAGGUCUUCGGGUUGUAAACUCCUGUCAUUUGGGAACAAGGUGUGCGCGUUAACUGCGCGUGCAUUGAUAGUACCAGAAGAGGAAGAGACGGCUAACUCUGUGCCAGCAGCCGCGGUAAUACAGAGGUCUCAAGCGUUGUUCGGAUUCAUUGGGCGUAAAGGGUGCGUAGGCGGCGUGGUAAGUCGGGUGUGAAAUCUCGGAGCUUAACUCCGAAACUGCAUUCGAUACUGCCGUGCUUGAGGACUGGAGAGGAGACUGGAAUUUACGGUGUAGCGGUGAAAUGCGUAGAUAUCGUAAGGAAGACCAGUGGCGAAGGCGGGUCUCUGGACAGUUCCUGACGCUGAGGCACGAAGGCCAGGGGAGCAAACGGGAUUAGAUACCCCAGUAGUCC
RNAcentral lists this ribosomal RNA (810 nucleotides) under uncultured bacterium. RNAcentral's name for it is "bacterial SSU rRNA". It matches the Rfam family "Bacterial small subunit ribosomal RNA", at positions 8 to 796 of the family's 1533-position model. The record is from RNAcentral.